CGCUUAACCUGGUCUCUUCAUCUUAAAGACAAGCGUAAGAAACUUAACUCCAGACUCCAUCUGUUAAAGCCACUACUUCGUUCCAACCUAACCAUACCGAUCAAAAUCAAAAUCAUGUUGGGAAAUAUACAUAGUACGAGUAAUGUUUGUAGAAAAUAUAAUAGUAUACUAUGAGUAAUGUAGUAUAUUACACCCAAAGAAGACCAAUAUAAUACAGUAUUGCCUUUUUUGUCCGAGAAUUUUUAAACUACUUCGGUGCCACUGACGUAUAUAUUAUUGGAAAAUAUCAGUUUCGAGCAUGUGG
Non-coding RNA from Cinara cedri, 304 nucleotides. The record is from the annotation of a GenBank genome assembly. NCBI's taxonomy places the organism in Eukaryota, Metazoa, Arthropoda, Insecta, Hemiptera, Aphididae.